RNAcentral lists this ribosomal RNA (631 nucleotides) under uncultured bacterium. Its description in RNAcentral is "bacterial SSU rRNA". The stretch from base 1 to 541 matches the Rfam family "Bacterial small subunit ribosomal RNA", at positions 338 to 873 of the family's 1533-position model. The record is from RNAcentral.
CCUACGGGAGGCAGCAGUGAGGAAUAUUGGACAAUGGGCGCAAGCCUGAUCCAGCCAUGCCGCGUGCAGGAAGACGCAUCUAUGGUGUGUAAACUGCUUUUGUACGGGAAGAAACACUCCCUCGUGAGGGAGCUUGACGGUACCGUAAGAAUAAGGAUCGGCUAACUCCGUGCCAGCAGCCGCGGUAAUACGGAGGAUCCAAGCGUUAUCCGGAAUCAUUGGGUUUAAAGGGUCCGUAGGCGGUUUAAUAAGUCAGUGGUGAAAGCCCAUCGCUCAACGAUGGAACGGCCAUUGAUACUGUUAGACUUGAAUUACUAGGAAGUAACUAGAAUAUGUAGUGUAGCGGUGAAAUGCUUAGAUAUUACAUGGAAUACCAAUUGCGAAGGCAGGUUACUACUAGUGGAUUGUACGCUGAUGGACGAAAGACGUGGGGAGGCGAACAGGAUUAGAUACCCUGGUAGUCCACGCCGUAAACCGAAUGGAUACUAGCUGUUGGGUCGGCAAGUUCAGUGGUGUAGAGAAGAGAGUAAGUAGUACCACCGCGGAGGUACGGUUCGGUCGAGAAGUUAGUAAGUUAACGAAGUAAGUUAGUUAGGCGNGAGAGNGCGACGACGACGACGAGGAGGAGGAG